GUUCCAGACUCCUACGGGAGGCAGCAGUGGGGGAUAUUGCACAAUGGGGGGAACCCUGAUGCAGCGACGCCGCGUGGGUGAAGGAGCGUUUCGGCGCGUAAAGCCCUAUCGGCAGGGAAGAAGGAGGACGGUACCUGACUAAGAAGCCCCGGCUAACUACGUGCCAGCAGCCGCGGUAAUACGUAGGGGGCAAGCGUUAUCCGGAUUUACUGGGUGUAAAGGGAGCGUAGGCGGUUUAGCAAGUCAGAAGUGAAAGCCCGGGGCUCAACUCCGGGACUGCUUUUGAAACUGUUGAACUAGAUUGCAGGAGAGGUAAGUGGAAUUCCUAGUGUAGCGGUGAAAUGCGUAGAUAUUAGGAGGAACACCAGUGGCGAAGGCGGCUUACUGGACGGCAACUGACGCUGAGGCUCGAAAGCGUGGGGAGCAAACAGGAUUAGAUACCCGAGUAUUG
This 451-nucleotide ribosomal RNA is filed under the name uncultured bacterium. RNAcentral's name for it is "partial 16S ribosomal RNA". It matches the Rfam family "Bacterial small subunit ribosomal RNA", at positions 328 to 793 of the family's 1533-position model. The record is from RNAcentral.